CUGUGAGCUCGAUGAGUAGGGCGGGACACGUGGUAUCCUGUCUGAAUAUGGGGGGACCAUCCUCCAAGGCUAAAUACUCCUGACUGACCGAUAGUGAACCAGUACCGUGAGGGAAAGGCGAAAAGAACCCCGGCGAGGGGAGUGAAAAAGAACCUGAAACCGUGUACGUACAAGCAGUGGGAGCCUCUUUUAUGGGGUGACUGCGUACCUUUUGUAUAAUGGGUCAGCGACUUAUAUUCUGUAGCAAGGUUAACCGAAUAGGGGAGCCGAAGGGAAACCGAGUCUUAACUGGGCGUUAAGUUGCAGGGUAUAGACCCGAAACCCGGUGAUCUAGCCAUGGGCAGGUUGAAGGUUGGGUAACACUAACUGGAGGACCGAACCGACUAAUGUUGAAAAAUUAGCGGAUGACUUGUGGCUGGGGGUGAAAGGCCAAUCAAACCGGGAGAUAGCUGGUUCUCCCCGAAAGCUAUUUAGGUAGCGCCUCGUGAAUUCAUCUCCGGGGGUAGAGCACUGUUUCGGCAAGGGGGUCAUCCCGACUUACCAACCCGAUGCAAACUGCGAAUACCGGAGAAUGUUAUCACGGGAGACACACGGCGGGUGCUAACGUCCGUCGUGAAGAGGGAAACAACCCAGACCGCCAGCUAAGGUCCCAAAGUCAUGGUUAAGUGGGAAACGAUGUGGGAAGGCCCAGACAGCCAGGAUGUUGGCUUAGAAGCAGCCAUCAUUUAAAGAAAGCGUAAUAGCUCACUGGUCGAGUCGGCCUGCGCGGAAGAUGUAACGGGGCUAAACCAUGCACCGAAGCUGCGGCAGCGACACUAUGUGUUGUUGGGUAGGGGAGCGUUCUGUAAGCCUGUGAAGGUGUGCUGUGAGGUAUGCUGGAGGUAUCAGAAGUGCGAAUGCUGACAUAAGUAACGAUAAAGCGGGUGAAAAGCCCGCUCGCCGGAAGACCAAGGGUUCCUGUCCAACGUUAAUCGGGGCAGGGUGAGUCGACCCCUAAGGCGAGGCCGAAAGGCGUAGUCGAUGGGAAACAGGUUAAUAUUCCUGUACUUGGUGUUACUGCGAAGGGGGGACGGAGAAGGCUAUGUUGGCCGGGCGACGGUUGUCCCGGUUUAAGCGUGUAGGCUGGUUUUCCAGGCAAAUCCGGAAAAUCAAGGCUGAGGCGUGAUGACGAGGCACUACGGUGCUGAAGCAACAAAUGCCCUGCUUCCAGGAAAAGCCUCUAAGCAUCAGGUAACAUCAAAUCGUACCCCAAACCGACACAGGUGGUCAGGUAGAGAAUACCAAGGCGCUUGAGAGAACUCGGGUGAAGGAACUAGGCAAAAUGGUGCCGUAACUUCGGGAGAAGGCACGCUGAUAUGUAGGUGAAGUCCCUUGCGGAUGGAGCUGAAAUCAGUCGAAGAUACCAGCUGGCUGCAACUGUUUAUUAAAAACACAGCACUGUGCAAACACGAAAGUGGACGUAUACGGUGUGACGCCUGCCCGGUGCCGGAAGGUUAAUUGAUGGGGUUAGCGGUAACGCGAAGCUCUUGAUCGAAGCCCCGGUAAACGGCGGCCGUAACUAUAACGGUCCUAAGGUAGCGAAAUUCCUUGUCGGGUAAGUUCCGACCUGCACGAAUGGCGUAAUGAUGGCCAGGCUGUCUCCACCCGAGACUCAGUGAAAUUGAACUCGCUGUGAAGAUGCAGUGUACCCGCGGCAAGACGGAAAGACCCCGUGAACCUUUACUAUAGCUUGACACUGAACAUUGAGCCUUGAUGUGUAGGAUAGGUGGGAGGCUUUGAAGUGUGGACGCCAGUCUGCAUGGAGCCGACCUUGAAAUACCACCCUUUAAUGUUUGAUGUUCUAACGUUGGCCCCUGAUCGGGGUUGCGGACAGUGUCUGGUGGGUAGUUUGACUGGGGCGGUCUCCUCCUAAAGAGUAACGGAGGAGCACGAAGGUUGGCUAAUCCUGGUCGGACAUCAGGAGGUUAGUGCAAUGGCAUAAGCCAGCUUGACUGCGAGCGUGACGGCGCGAGCAGGUGCGAAAGCAGGUCAUAGUGAUCCGGUGGUUCUGAAUGGAAGGGCCAUCGCUCAACGGAUAAAAGGUACUCCGGGGAUAACAGGCUGAUACCGCCCAAGAGUUCAUAUCGACGGCGGUGUUUGGCACCUCGAUGUCGGCUCAUCACAUCCUGGGGCUGAAGUAGGUCCCAAGGGUAUGGCUGUUCGCCAUUUAAAGUGGUACGCGAGCUGGGUUUAGAACGUCGUGAGACAGUUCGGUCCCUAUCUGCCGUGGGCGCUGGAGAACUGAGGGGGGCUGCUCCUAGUACGAGAGGACCGGAGUGGACGCAUCACUGGUGUUCGGGUUGUCAUGCCAAUGGCACUGCCCGGUAGCUAAAUGCGGAAGAGAUAAGUGCUGAAAGCAUCUAAGCACGAAACUUGCCCCGAGAUGAGUUCUCCCUGACUCCUUGAGAGUCCUGAAGGAACGUUGAAGACGACGACGUUGAUAGGCCGGGUGUGUAAGCGCAGCGAUGCGUUGAGCUAACCGGUACUAAUGAACCGUGAGGCUUAACCUU
This 2549-nucleotide ribosomal RNA is filed under the name Escherichia coli KTE147. Its description in RNAcentral is "bacterial LSU rRNA". It matches the Rfam family "Bacterial large subunit ribosomal RNA", at positions 397 to 2925 of the family's 2925-position model. Lineage: Bacteria; Pseudomonadati; Pseudomonadota; Gammaproteobacteria; Enterobacterales; Enterobacteriaceae. The record is from RNAcentral.